CGGAGGAUCCAAGCGUUAUCCGGAAUCAUUGGGUUUAAAGGGUCCGUAGGCGGUCUUGUAAGUCAGUGGUGAAAGCCCAUCGCUCAACGGUGGAACGGCCAUUGAUACUGCAGGACUUGAAUUAUUAGGAAGUAACUAGAAUAUGUAGUGUAGCGGUGAAAUGCUUAGAUAUUACAUGGAAUACCAAUUGCGAAGGCAGGUUACUACUAAUUGAUUGACGCUGAUGGACGAAAGCGUGGGGAGCGAACAGGAUUAGAUACCCUGGUAGUCCACGCCGUAAACGAUGGAUACUAGCUGUUGGGGGCAACUUCAGUGGCUAAGCGAAAGUGAUAAGUAUCCACCUGGGGAGUACGUUCGCAAGAAUG
This 365-nucleotide ribosomal RNA is filed under the name uncultured organism. RNAcentral's name for it is "bacterial SSU rRNA". It matches the Rfam family "Bacterial small subunit ribosomal RNA", at positions 526 to 896 of the family's 1533-position model. The record is from RNAcentral.